CCUACGGGGGGCAGCAGUAGGGAAUAUUGCUCAAUGGGGGAAACCCUGAAGCAGCAACGCCGCGUGGAGGAUGAAGGUUUUCGGAUUGUAAACUCCUUUUUUUAGAGAAGAUAAUGACGGUACCUAUCGAAUAAUCACCGGCUAACUCCGGGCCAGCAGCCGCGGUAAUACGGAGGGUGCAAGCGUUACUCGGAAUCACUGGGCGUAAAGGGCGCGUAGGCGGGGUAGCAAGUCAGAUGUGAAAUCCUAUGGGUUAACCAUAGAACUGCAUUUGAAACUGUUAUUCUAGAGUAUGGGAGAGGUAGGUGGAAUUCUUGGUGUAGGGGUAAAAUCCGUAGAGAUCAAGAGGAAUACUGAUUGCGAAGGCAACCUGCUAGAGCAUAACUGACGCUGAUGCGCGAAAGCGUGGGGAGCAAACAGGAUUAGAUACCCCAGUAGUC
RNAcentral lists this ribosomal RNA (440 nucleotides) under uncultured bacterium. RNAcentral's name for it is "partial 16S ribosomal RNA". It matches the Rfam family "Bacterial small subunit ribosomal RNA", at positions 338 to 795 of the family's 1533-position model. The record is from RNAcentral.